Molecule: ribosomal RNA, 280 nt
Filed under: uncultured Sphingobacteriales bacterium
Lineage: Bacteria; Pseudomonadati; Bacteroidota; Sphingobacteriia; Sphingobacteriales
Description: partial 16S ribosomal RNA
Rfam family: Bacterial small subunit ribosomal RNA
Source: RNAcentral
GUGCCAGCAGCCGCGGUAAUACGGAGGGUGCAAGCGUUGUCCGGAUUUAUUGGGUUUAAAGGGUGCGCAGGUGGUUUAUUAAGUCAGUGGUGAAAGACGGUCGCUCAACGAUUGCAGUGCCAUUGAAACUAGUAGACUUGAGUAAAGUAGAGGUGGGCGGAAUUGAUAGUGUAGCGGUGAAAUGCAUAGAUAUUAUCAAGAACUCCAAUUGCGUAGGCAGCUCACUUGGCUUUUACUGACACUCAUGCACGAAAGUGUGGGUAUCAAACAGGAUUAGAUA